RNAcentral lists this ribosomal RNA (565 nucleotides) under uncultured Glomeromycotina. Its description in RNAcentral is "SSU rRNA". It matches the Rfam family "Eukaryotic small subunit ribosomal RNA", at positions 548 to 1114 of the family's 1831-position model. Lineage: Eukaryota; Fungi; Glomeromycota. The record is from RNAcentral.
UUGGAGGGCAAGUCUGGUGCCAGCAGCCGCGGUAAUUCCAGCUCCAAUAGCGUAUAUUAAAGUUGUUGCAGUUAAAAAGCUCGUAGUUGAAUUUCGGGGUCAGUAGGUUGGUCAUGCCACCGGUACGUACUGGUCUCACUGAUUCCUCCUUCCUGAUGAACUGUAAUGCCAUUAAUUUGGUGUUGCAGGGAAUCUGGACUGUUACUUUGAAAAAAUUAGAGUGUUUAAAGCAGGCGCACGCUUGAAUACAUUAGCAUGGAAUAAUGAAAUAGGACGUUUGAUUCUAUUUUGUUGGUUUCUAGGAUCGACGUAAUGAUUAAUAGGGAUAGUUGGGGGCAUUAGUAUUCAAUUGUCAGAGGUGAAAUUCUUGGAUUUAUUGAAGGCUAACUACUGCGAAAGCAUUUGCCAAGGAUGUUUUCAUUAAUCAAGAACGAAAGUUAGGGGAUCGAAGACGAUCAGAUACCGUCGUAGUCUUAACCAUAAACUAUGCCGACUAGGGAUCGGAUGAUGUUAAUUUUUUAAUGACUCAUUCGGCGCCUUACGGGAAACCAAAGUGUUUGGGUUC